RNAcentral lists this ribosomal RNA (1346 nucleotides) under uncultured bacterium. RNAcentral's name for it is "partial 16S ribosomal RNA". It matches the Rfam family "Bacterial small subunit ribosomal RNA", at positions 28 to 1381 of the family's 1533-position model. The record is from RNAcentral.
GACGAACGCUGGCGGCGUGCUUAACACAUGCAAGUCGAACGGAAAGGCCCUGCUUUUGUGGGGUGCUCGAGUGGCGAACGGGUGAGUAACACGUGAGUAACCUGCCCUUGACUUUGGGAUAACUUCAGGAAACUGGGGCUAAUACCGGAUAGGAGCUCCUGCUGCAUGGUGGGGGUUGGAAAGUUUCGGCGGUUGGGGAUGGACUCGCGGCUUAUCAGCUUGUUGGUGGGGUAGUGGCUUACCAAGGCUUUGACGGGUAGCCGGCCUGAGAGGGUGACCGGCCACAUUGGGACUGAGAUACGGCCCAGACUCCUACGGGAGGCAGCAGUGGGGAAUAUUGCACAAUGGGCGGAAGCCUGAUGCAGCAACGCCGCGUGCGGGAUGACGGCCUUCGGGUUGUAAACCGCUUUCGCCUGUGACGAAGCGUGAGUGACGGUAAUGGGUAAAGAAGCACCGGCUAACUACGUGCCAGCAGCCGCGGUGAUACGUAGGGUGCGAGCGUUGUCCGGAUUUAUUGGGCGUAAAGGGCUCGUAGGUGGUUGAUCGCGUCGGAAGUGUAAUCUUGGGGCUUAACCCUGAGCGUGCUUUCGAUACGGGUUGACUUGAGGAAGGUAGGGGAGAAUGGAAUCCCUGGUGGAGCGGUGGAAUGCGCAGAUAUCAGGAGGAACACCAGUGGCGAAGGCGGCUCUCUGGGCCUUUCCUGACGCUGAGGAGCGAAAGCGUGGGGAGCGAACAGGCUUAGAUACCCUGGUAGUCCACGCUGUAAACGGUGGGUACUAGGUGUGGGGUCCAUUCCACGGGUUCCGUGCCGUAGCUAACGCUUUAAGUACCCCGCCUGGGGAGUACGGCCGCAAGGCUAAAACUCAAAGGAAUUGACGGGGCCCCGCACAAGCGGCGGAGCAUGCGGAUUAAUUCGAUGCAACGCGUAGAACCUUACCUGGGUUUGACAUGGAUCGGGAGUGCUCAGAGAUGGGUGUGCCUCUUUUGGGGUCGGUUCACAGGUGGUGCAUGGCUGUCGUCAGCUCGUGUCGUGAGAUGUUGGGUUAAGUCCCGCAACGAGCGCAACCCUUGUUCACUGUUGCCAGCACGUUAUGGUGGGGACUCAGUGGAGACCGCCGGGGUCAACUCGGAGGAAGGUGGGGAUGACGUCAAGUCAUCAUGCCCCUUAUGUCCAGGGCUUCACGCAUGCUACAAUGGCUGGUACAGAGAGUGGCGAGCCUGUGAGGGUGAGCGAAUCUCGGAAAGCCGGUCUCAGUUCGGAUUGGGGUCUGCAACUCGACCUCAUGAAGUCGGAGUCGCUAGUAAUCGCAGAUCAGCAACGCUGCGGUGAAUACGUUCCCGGGGCU